This is a non-coding RNA of Acanthosepion pharaonis, 100 nucleotides long. Lineage: Eukaryota; Metazoa; Mollusca; Cephalopoda; Sepiida; Sepiidae. The record is from the annotation of a GenBank genome assembly.
UCUGCUGAAACACAGCUACCCGUACGAUCACUAAAGUUAAACAACGUCGAGCCUCGUCAGUACGUAGAUAGGUGACCACUUGAGAAUAUCAGGUGCUGGA